CAUAAAGUAGAAAGCACUACUAAACUUUACUACACAGUGUAGUGUUUCCUACUUUAUGGAUG
This is a microRNA precursor of Amphilophus citrinellus (Midas cichlid), 62 nucleotides long. NCBI's taxonomy places the organism in Eukaryota, Metazoa, Chordata, Actinopteri, Cichliformes, Cichlidae. The record is from Ensembl.